CGCAUCUGUGCAUGCAGCAUAUCAAUAAGCGGAGGAAAAGAAACCUAACAAGGAUUCCCUUAGUAACGGCGAGUGAAGCGGGAAGAGCUCAAAUUUGAAAUCUUCAAGGUUUUACCUUGACGAAUUGUAGUUUAAAGAAGUGUUUUCUGUUGAAGUUUUGGUAAAAGUUCUUUGGAAUAGGACAUCAUAGAGGGUGAGAAUCCCGUAUUUGACCAUUAUUUUCAGCUGUGUGAUACACUUUCAAAGAGUCGGAUUGUUUGGGAAUGCAGUCCAAAAUGGGUGGUAAAUUUCAUCUAAAGCUAAAUAUUGGCGAGAGACCGAUAGCGAACAAGUACCGUGAGGGAAAGAUGAAAAGAACUUUGAAAAGAGAGUUAAACAGUACGUGAAAUUGUCAAAAGGGAAGCGUUUGACACCAGUGUUGUUUUCUCGAAAAUCAAUUAAAAAGAGUUUGAUUUUGUUGUGUAUUGACCUUAACAGCUUGCAUUUCAAUUUUCUUGCUUUUUUUAAUGCACUUUUCGUUUAACAAGUCAACAUCAGUUUCUUUUGUUGUAAAAAGGUCAUUGGAAGGUGGCUUUCUUUUCGGAGAAAGUGUUUAUAGCCUUUGACUCCUGCAAUCGGAGAGACUGAGGUCUGCAGCGUAGAUCCUUCGGGGUUAGAUACAUUUGUGCUAAGUUAUAGCUUUUUAUAGACAACUUGUUGACUAUGAUUAGUCUUGUAGCUUACUCGCUUAUGCUAUUUUACCUACGCUUAGGAUGUUGACACACGCGCGUGCUCG
This 775-nucleotide ribosomal RNA is filed under the name uncultured Neocallimastigales. RNAcentral's name for it is "partial large subunit ribosomal RNA". It matches the Rfam family "Eukaryotic large subunit ribosomal RNA", at positions 26 to 643 of the family's 3401-position model. The record is from RNAcentral. Lineage: Eukaryota; Fungi; Neocallimastigomycota; Neocallimastigomycetes; Neocallimastigales.